Long non-coding RNA from Brassica napus (rape), 2250 nucleotides. RefSeq lists it as uncharacterized. The transcript has 6 exons. The record is from RefSeq and is a predicted model, not a curated record. NCBI's taxonomy places the organism in Eukaryota, Viridiplantae, Streptophyta, Magnoliopsida, Brassicales, Brassicaceae.
AUCCUUCUUAAAGAUAAAAAAUACGAACUCAAAGAAUCUAUAAAGCAAAAUAAUUGUUUAAAAUGAAACUUAGCCGCACAAAAUAAAUGUUUAAAAUGAAACUUUACCGCGCAUGGCGCGGGUUCUAUUCUAGUCACAAUAUAAGAUACAGUUUUUUAACUUUUAACUAAAAAAAAAUUAAAAAACGUCUCUUAUAAAAAUCUCUUAAUUAUUUUAUUAUAAAACUAAAAAACCGUAUUUUAUAUUACGUUAAAACAUCUACAAUAAACAUGCUCUAAUACAUCCAAAUAUAAGUAAAAACCCCUUUCUAUCGGGGUCCUUCGCAUCUGAUGCCCUCUUUUCUACAGGCUUACGUGAUCAACCACAAUACUUGUCAAAACGUCACGUUUCGACUUUGAUCUAGUUUCACUUUCCUUUUCAAUCAAUACAAUACUAAAAGGGAGAUAUAAGCCUCAGAUAGGCUGUCCACGUCAGACAAAAAAAACAGCCAAUCAUGUUAUAACGUUUUGCCACGUCAUAACUGAUUUAGGAUAUUGGGCUUCAAAUCACUUCUGAUCUGUCAAAAUAAUCUUAACGGCCCAGCAAGCCCACCUAUGGAAAGCAUCGUAACCUUUGUCUCAACGACACGAAUCCUUCUUCCUCAUUUUCUCUGUAGAUCGUUCGUGAAACCCUUUCCUCUUCCUCUUCUUCGAUUCCGUUUCACGAUCUGAUUUACGAUCAAUCAAUACAGACUCCACUUCGGUUCUCCCUUUAAUUUCAUUUAUGGAUUCUCUUUUCUUCUCUCGCUCUGUUUUUCUUUAUAAAACUCUUAAUCCGAGUUUUGUUUCGAUCAAACUUGGUUGUCUCUUCUCAUUACUCUACUGCGAUGAGUUCCUACAGAGAAUCGACGAUCGGCAAAAGCGGUGUUUCUCCCGGCCUCAAGAUCGGCGAUCCCAACUCGAAGAAAGCAAAAGGCAAAGCGGCGGUCUCCUCUUCCAGUCCGACCAAACUCAUCGGCAAAACCGGUGUCUCUUCCGGCCUCUCCAUCGACAAUCCCCACUCGAAGAAACUCAAUGCAGCAGACGAGGUAGCUGAGGAGAUCCGGCGGCUGAACGAUGUCCCGAUGCUUGCGAUCCCACCGGAAUUGCAGACCUGAGAGUUGUUAGAGAUGGAUAAGAUAAGUGUCGCUAACCUCUUGCUUCGUAAUGCCAUAGCUCUCUAGGAUUAUUGUUCUGUACUCUUCUCGCUUCUCGGGAUUAUGAAUUAAUGCGAUUGCAAGGAAGAGAUGGGUCUGCGGAAAUCUUUAACGAAUUGGCCCCAUGAAGAAGUGUGGAUAAGCUCCUUCUCGUCUCUCACUUCUCAGUUUCAGUUCAAUUGUGGUUUAAGAGAUUGUUCUCUGCGAUGAAAUGCAACACUUCAACCAAAUCGAAUAGCACAUUCUUGAUUUGAACACAUGGGCGUCUAUAUGUUACUAUUGGAUGAUAAGGACUACAGGAGCCACUCAUCCAAGCCUCUAACACACAAAGUCCACGGGCUGAACACUUUCAGAGAAUUAGAGGAAGCAUUUUCAGAGAAUUAAGUGGAUUCGAUGUGGAUUUGCUAUGAAAAAAAAAAGAUGUUGGAAGACAGAAGGUUCCCCAAAUUGCAUCUCAACUUUCAGCUCAGGCAACUCUGAUUCAGGCCUCAAUUACCUUGGCUUGGACUGUUCAUGAUGUUAUCGCUUGAGUGUACAGACUCAAUAAGUUCCAAUACCUAAGACCUGAACUGAACAUCCCUUCUUUGCUCUUGACUACUUGCCUUUUUGUUUAUGUCCAGAGAAGUGAUAACCACCUGGUGAUGACAUGCCUGGAGCUGUAGCAGUGUCAACUAAGCCAUCUGAUAUGAUGCUCCAUCAUGCAUCUGAGAAAAAAAAAGCUACGAGUGAUAGUGGUUGGAUUGUUGAAGAGAGUGAUGCUGCUCCACCUCAAUCAACUGAUGCUACUGUUUUGGUUGGUUCUGAUUAAUCGGAAGGAUCCACCCACGGAGAAUGUGCCUGAAGGUAAGAAGCCACGCAUUGCAUAACUUUAUAGGCUAAGGAGGACCUAAGCUUAAAGUCGGUUACAUCGAGUCUAUCGUUUUUUCUUUCUUUUCCUCUGUUUUGAUCUUUUAAUUCUUAGAGAUUUUCCUCACAUGAAACCUUCUUCGGUGUUUUAAUUUAUCUUUGGUUUUAGUUUUCGUUCUGACUUGGAAACAAAGUUCGUCUAUUGUUUAUAAAAUAAAAUUUCCUUCAAA